This 607-nucleotide ribosomal RNA is filed under the name uncultured Actinomycetes bacterium. RNAcentral describes it as "bacterial SSU rRNA". It matches the Rfam family "Bacterial small subunit ribosomal RNA", at positions 252 to 866 of the family's 1533-position model. Lineage: Bacteria; Bacillati; Actinomycetota; Actinomycetes. The record is from RNAcentral.
GUGGGGUAACGGCCUACCAAGGCGACGACGGGUAGCUGGUCUGAGAGGACGACCAGCCACACUGGGACUGAGACACGGCCCAGACUCCUACGGGAGGCAGCAGUGGGGAAUCUUGCGCAAUGGGCGAAAGCCUGACGCAGCGACACCGCGUGGGGGAUGAAGGCCUUUCAGGUCGUAAACCCCUUUCGGCAGGGACGAAGCGAUCUCGUGACGGUACCUGCAGAAGAAGCCUCGGCUAACUACGUGCCAGCAGCCGCGGUAACACGUAGGAGGCGAGCGUUGUCCGGAAUCAUUGGGCGUAAAGAGCGCGCAGGCGGCUUGGCAAGUCGGGUGUGAAAUCCCGGGGCUCAACCCCGUGACUGCAUCCGAUACUGUCAGGCUAGAGGUAGGUAGGGGAGAUCGGAAUUCCUGGUGUAGCGGUGAAAUGCGCAGAUAUCAGGAGGAACACCGGUGGCGAAGGCGGAUCUCUGGGCCUUACCUGACGCUCAGGCGCGAAAGCUAGGGGAGCGAACAGGAUUAGAUACCCCGGUAGUCCUAGCCGUAAACGUUGGGUGCUAGGUGUGGGCGGAUAUCAACCCCGUCCGUGCCGAAGCUAACGCAUUAAGCA